UCUAAAUUGCAAAAUGUUCCCCUGAUUCGAUCUCUUCUCUGCAUUCCAUCUUCUCCUCCUCCUCUCUUGUUUUUGUCGUUGAUUCCAUGGCUUCACAGUAAGGCUCCCAAGGCACGAGCAGUAAUAGCUCAAGGUUGAAGUUGCAACCAGGCCCGUCGAAGAAAAAUAUGUUAUUAUGGUCAGAGGUCCGUGCUUGCUACUUCAUCCACUGUAGAGAAUCUUAGAUGUAGAUUCUGGGACUGUGUCAACUAUGGAAUUGAGGAAGAACGUGGGUACUUUUGUGAGCUGAGCCAGAGGAUGAUCUAGAAAUUGCAAAAUUGAGAAGAAAAGUCACUACUUUGAAGAAUAAAUUGGCAACAAAUUAAUUGAUGUUUAUUUUUGCAGUAUCAGUUGCUCUAGUAGGAUGGACAGUUGCACUAUUCUUACUAUGUGAAAAGAUGACUUUCUCUAGAAAUUAGAGGUUUUUAUUACAAUGAAACUAGAGAAUUUAAGAUAGAAGAAUAUGAUUAUAAUUUUGUUCUAUAUUUUGUUAAUAGGUAGGAAUCAACUUGGUUUAAUUUGUAGUUCCUUAUAUCAUCUAAUUAUGAAUGAAAUGCAUACUUAA
This is a long non-coding RNA of Arachis ipaensis, 604 nucleotides long. RefSeq lists it as uncharacterized. The record is from RefSeq and is a predicted model, not a curated record. NCBI's taxonomy places the organism in Eukaryota, Viridiplantae, Streptophyta, Magnoliopsida, Fabales, Fabaceae.